Molecule: ribosomal RNA, 515 nt
Filed under: Enterococcus faecalis
Lineage: Bacteria; Bacillati; Bacillota; Bacilli; Lactobacillales; Enterococcaceae
Description: bacterial SSU rRNA
Rfam family: Bacterial small subunit ribosomal RNA
Source: RNAcentral
GCGGCGUGCCUAAUACAUGCAAGUCGAACGCUUCUUUCCUCCCGAGUGCUUGCACUCAAUUGGAAAGAGGAGUGGCGGACGGGUGAGUAACACGUGGGUAACCUACCCAUCAGAGGGGGAUAACACUUGGAAACAGGUGCUAAUACCGCAUAACAGUUUAUGCCGCAUGGCAUAAGAGUGAAAGGCGCUUUCGGGUGUCGCUGAUGGAUGGACCCGCGGUGCAUUAGCUAGUUGGUGAGGUAACGGCUCACCAAGGCCACGAUGCAUAGCCGACCUGAGAGGGUGAUCGGCCACACUGGGACUGAGACACGGCCCAGACUCCUACGGGAGGCAGCAGUAGGGAAUCUUCGGCAAUGGACGAAAGUCUGACCGAGCAACGCCGCGUGAGUGAAGAAGGUUUUCGGAUCGUAAAACUCUGUUGUUAGAGAAGAACAAGGACGUUAGUAACUGAACGUCCCCUGACGGUAUCUAACCAGAAAGCCACGGCUAACUACGUGCCAGCCGCCGCGGUAAUU